CCCUAGCCCCGAUAAAAGUGAAAAUCCUUUUUGUCAGCCUCUUCGGCAGACCAAAAGAUUGUAAAGGUUAGCGGGAAAUAGC
This 82-nucleotide small RNA is filed under the name Flavobacterium fryxellicola. RNAcentral describes it as "Flavo-1 RNA". It matches the Rfam family "Flavo-1 RNA". Lineage: Bacteria; Pseudomonadati; Bacteroidota; Flavobacteriia; Flavobacteriales; Flavobacteriaceae. The record is from RNAcentral.